UCCGAGUUGACCCCGGCGGUCUCCCGUGAGUCCCCAGCACCACAAGGGCCUGCUGGCAACACGGGACAAGGGUUGCGCUCGUUGCGGGACUUAACCCAACAUCUCACGACACGAGCUGACGACAGCCACGCAGCACCUGUCCUGGUGCCCCGAAGGGGGGCCCUGCUUUCACAGGGCUUUCACCAGGAUGUCAAGCCCAGGUAAGGUUCUUCGCGUUGCAUCGAAUUAAUCCGCAUGCUCCGCCGCUUGUGCGGGCCCCCGUCAAUUCCUUUGAGUUUUAGCCUUGCGGCCGUACUCCCCAGGCGGGGCGCUUAAUGCGUUAGCUGCGGCACGGAGGACGUGGAAUGUCCCCCACACCUGGCGCCCAACGUUUACGGCGUGGACUAC
This 387-nucleotide unclassified non-coding RNA is filed under the name uncultured Actinomycetes bacterium. RNAcentral describes it as "uncultured actinobacterium contains 16S-23S intergenic spacer region". Lineage: Bacteria; Bacillati; Actinomycetota; Actinomycetes. The record is from RNAcentral.